Molecule: transfer RNA, 71 nt
Filed under: Bacteroidales bacterium
Lineage: Bacteria; Pseudomonadati; Bacteroidota; Bacteroidia; Bacteroidales
Description: tRNA-OTHER
Rfam family: tRNA
About the family: Transfer RNA (tRNA) molecules are approximately 80 nucleotides in length.
Source: RNAcentral
GGCCCCGUAGUUCAAUGGAUAGAACGGAAGUUUCUAAACUUUAGAUGCAGGUUCGAUUCCUGCCGGGGUCA